RNAcentral lists this ribosomal RNA (446 nucleotides) under uncultured bacterium. Its description in RNAcentral is "partial 16S ribosomal RNA". It matches the Rfam family "Bacterial small subunit ribosomal RNA", at positions 339 to 795 of the family's 1533-position model. The record is from RNAcentral.
CUACGGGCGGCAGCAGCCGAGAAUCUUCCGCAAUGGGCGAAAGCCUGACGGAGCGACGUCGCGUGACUGAUGAAGCACUUCGGUGUGUAAAAGUCUUUUAUGAGGGAAAAAGCUUCGGUUGAUAUUACCUCAUGAAUAAGGGGCUCCUAAACUCGUGCCAGCAGGAGCGGUAAUACGAGUGCCCCGAGUGUUGUCCGGAAUCACUGGGCGUAAAGUGUGUCUAGGCUGUUGUGUUAGUCUUUUCGUUAAAUCCUCGCGCCUAACGCGAGAACCGCGGGAGAAACGGCACAACUUGAGGGAGUGAGAGGUGUACGGAACUCACAGUGUAGGGGUGAAAUCCGUUGAUAUUGUGAGGAACACCAAAAGCGAAGGCAGUACACUGGCACUCUCCUGACGCUCAAACACGAAAGCGUAGGUAGCGAACGGGAUUAGAUACCCCGGUAGUC